UACGUAGGGGGCGAGCGUUGUCCGGAAUCAUUGGGCGUAAAGAGCUCGUAGGCGGUUUGUCGCGUCUGCCGUGAAAGUCCGGGGCUCAACCCCGGAUCUGCGGUGGGUACGGGCAGACUAGAGUGAUGUAGGGGAGACUGGAAUUCCUGGUGUAGCGGUGAAAUGCGCAGAUAUCAGGAGGAACACCGGUGGCGAAGGCGGGUCUCUGGGCCGAUACUGACGCUGAGGAGCGAAAGCGUGGGGAGCGAACAGG
RNAcentral lists this ribosomal RNA (253 nucleotides) under uncultured bacterium. Its description in RNAcentral is "partial 16S ribosomal RNA". It matches the Rfam family "Bacterial small subunit ribosomal RNA", at positions 524 to 776 of the family's 1533-position model. The record is from RNAcentral.